Long non-coding RNA from Triticum urartu, 1093 nucleotides. RefSeq lists it as uncharacterized. The record is from RefSeq and is a predicted model, not a curated record. NCBI's taxonomy places the organism in Eukaryota, Viridiplantae, Streptophyta, Magnoliopsida, Poales, Poaceae.
GCUCAUCCCCUUCCUCACCUGCUCCAUCUCACCCACUUAGAUCACCGAUCCCCUCUCAGAUCGGGGGUGUUACAUUGGUAUUCAGAGCCAAAAAAAUUCUUCCCCUCGCCGCCGCUGCACCUUCUGAAACUUGGGAGGUGGAUCGGUAACACCCACCGCGCACGGUGCGAGUCCGCUCGCCGGAUCUCGCCCGAAAUCCGUCACGGGGUUCGAUCCCCUCAUUGGUUCGUCAGCCCCGCGUCCCCAUCACGGUGGCGACACGACGGAGGGCGCCAACAACAAGGAUGCCACCUAGGGGUGGCGGGGGAGCCACCGACGGGCGAGCUCUUGCUAUGGACGCGCCGAUGGGAGGGGUCCAGGAGCCACCACAGCAGCAGGAGAGUCUUCCUAGAGAGCGGAAACGGAGAGGACUCGCUCGGCAGCAGCGACGGUGAUCUCAACGGUCUUGCCGACCUCACCCACCUGGCCGUUAUGUUUUCGCACUGUUGCUGGGCGUACCUUCCGGGACCACAGAGCUGUCUGGUACAAGUUUGGACAGCAAAGCUCUGCAUGCUCGGGUGCUCACUCUGACGCCUAACGCCCUGCCUUUCCGGUAUCCUCUUCCUCGUUGGUUCCGACAUAGUUUGUUUCAGCCAUUGGCAAGAAGACUCACAUCAACAUUGUGGUCAUUUGGCAUCUUGACUCUGGCAAGUCGGCCACCACUGGGCCAUCGGAUGUACAAGCUUGGAGGUAUUGACAAGAGGUUGGAGAGGAAGCUCCUAAGAUGAAUAAGAUAAUCAUUCAAAUACGCGUGGGUGCUUGGCAAGAUGAAGGCCCAUCGGAGUUUGAUGCCCCCGAAACUAAAUCUGCAUUGUGUGCAGUGGAUUAGGAUAAAGUUUUUGGUUGGUAGUUGUUUAAAGAUCAUGUUGUUGCUCGAGUCCAAUACUCUAGACUGUGUAGUGUUUAAAGAACCCAUGACAUUUGUACACAUCUCUUCUCAGCUACAUAACAUAUUUCUCGCUCGUUAAACAAGAAAAUGGCUGGGACUUGCUUAUGUGCAAUUUGCAGUGCCUCAUUGGAUUUAUCGUGUAUAUCAACCUAUUUAUUAUCAACA